RNAcentral lists this transfer RNA (72 nucleotides) under Actinomycetota bacterium. RNAcentral's name for it is "tRNA-Asp". It matches the Rfam family "tRNA". From Rfam's summary of the family: Transfer RNA (tRNA) molecules are approximately 80 nucleotides in length. Their secondary structure includes four short double-helical elements and three loops (D, anti-codon, and T loops). Further hydrogen bonds mediate the characteristic L-shaped molecular structure. tRNAs have two regions of fundamental functional importance: the anti-codon, which is responsible for specific mRNA codon recognition, and the 3' end, to which the tRNAs corresponding amino acid is attached (by aminoacyl-tRNA synthetases). tRNAs cope with the degeneracy of the genetic code in two manners: having more than one tRNA (with a specific anti-codon) for a particular amino acid; and 'wobble' base-pairing, i.e. permitting non-standard base-pairing at the 3rd anti-codon position. The record is from RNAcentral. Lineage: Bacteria; Bacillati; Actinomycetota.
GGGGACGGAGCUCGGUGGACGGGCAGCCGCCUGUCAAGCGGAAGGCCGCCGGUUCGAGUCCGGUCGUCCCCG